RNAcentral lists this ribosomal RNA (497 nucleotides) under uncultured bacterium. Its description in RNAcentral is "partial 16S ribosomal RNA". It matches the Rfam family "Bacterial small subunit ribosomal RNA", at positions 28 to 507 of the family's 1533-position model. The record is from RNAcentral.
GAUGAACGCUGGCGGCGUGCCUAAUACAUGCAAGUCGAGCGAACAGACGAGGAGCUUGCUCCUCUGACGUUAGCGGCGGACGGGUGAGUAACACGUGGAUAACCUACCUAUAAGACUGGGAUAACUUCGGGAAACCGGAGCUAAUACCGGAUAAUAUAUUGAACCGCAUGGUUCAAUAGUGAAAGACGGUUUUGCUGUCACUUAUAGAUGGAUCCGCGCCGCAUUAGCUAGUUGGUAAGGUAACGGCUUACCAAGGCAACGAUGCGUAGCCGACCUGAGAGGGUGAUCGGCCACACUGGAACUGAGACACGGUCCAGACUCCUACGGGAGGCAGCAGUAGGGAAUCGUCCGCAAAGGGCGAAAGCCUGACGGAGCAACGCCGCGUGAGUGAUGAAGGUCAUCGGAUCGUAAAACUCUGUUAUUAGGGAAGAACAAAUGUGUAAGUAACUAUGCACGUCUUGACGGUACCUAAUCAGAAAGCCACGGCUAACUACGUG